Molecule: ribosomal RNA, 253 nt
Filed under: uncultured bacterium
Lineage: Bacteria
Description: partial 16S ribosomal RNA
Rfam family: Bacterial small subunit ribosomal RNA
Source: RNAcentral
UACGUAGGGGGCAAGCGUUAUCCGGAUUUACUGGGUGUAAAGGGAGCGUAGACGGCAGUGCAAGUCUGGAGUGAAAGGCGGGGGCUCAACCCCCGGACUGCUCUGGAAACUGUACGGCUGGAGUGCAGGAGAGGCAAGUGGAAUUCCUAGUGUAGCGGUGAAAUGCGUAGAUAUUAGGAGGAACACCAGUGGCGAAGGCGGCUUACUGGACUGUAACUGACGUUGAGGCUCGAAAGCGUGGGGAGCAAACAGG